GAGGGUUAAAGAGUACGUGAAAUUGUUGAAAGGGAAGCGCCCAUGGCCAGGCUUGGGCCCGGUGAAUCACCCAGCGUUCUCGCUGGUGCACUUUGCCGGGCACAGACCAGCAUCGGUUUGGCGCGGGGGACAAAGGCUUCGGGAACGUGGCUCCCUCGGGAGUGUUAUAGCCCGCUGCGCAAUACCCUGCGCCGGACUGAGGUACGCGCAUCGCAAGGAUGCUGGCGUAAUGGUCAUCAGCGACCCGUCUUGAAACACGGACCAAGGAGUCGUCUUCGUAUGCGAGUGUUCGGGUGUCAAACCCCUACGCGGAAUGAAAGUGAACGCAGGUGAGAGCUUCGGCGCAUCAUCGACCGAUCCUGAUGUUCUCGGAUGGAUUUGAGUAGGAGCAUACGGGGCCGGACCCGAAAGAAGGUGAACUAUGCCUGUAUAGGGUGAAGCCAGAGGAAACUCUGGUGGAGGCUCGCAGCGGUUCUGACGUGCGAAUCGAUCGUCAAAUAUGGGCAUGGGGGCGAAAGACUAAUCGAACCUUCUAGUAGCUGGUUUC
RNAcentral lists this ribosomal RNA (547 nucleotides) under Cordyceps morakotii. RNAcentral describes it as "LSU rRNA". It matches the Rfam family "Eukaryotic large subunit ribosomal RNA", at positions 383 to 958 of the family's 3401-position model. The record is from RNAcentral. Lineage: Eukaryota; Fungi; Ascomycota; Sordariomycetes; Hypocreales; Cordycipitaceae.